Molecule: non-coding RNA, 6969 nt
Organism: Rattus norvegicus (Norway rat)
Lineage: Eukaryota; Metazoa; Chordata; Mammalia; Rodentia; Muridae
Source: RefSeq, a predicted model, not a curated record
GCUCUAGAGCGCGCGCCGCCCGGCUGCUCCUCCUCCUCCAGCUCCGGGCCUCGCCCGCCUCGCCCGGUUUCCUUCUAGAACCAGCUUCCAAACUGGCUUGCUGGGAUGGGUCGGUCAGGUCUCCGCCGCCUCUUUCUCAGGAAACGUAUUCACAGCUGCUCAAUGAUGGAGGGGCUGCAGGUAUAUGGGGAGAGGGGCUGCCUGAGACAGAUGAAUAUUGACAGCAAGAGCACACUUACAGUCUUGGGGACCUGAGGAAAUCCCUCUCUGGGUAAGUAGCCUGGCAGAAGCACAGAAUUCUAAAUGUUUCCUCAGGAAGGUAUAUUCAUGGUGCUGAAGCCCAGAGUUGGAGAAAUCUGGACAUGUUCAGAUGUAGAGGAGCUCUCUAGGGAGGCCAGGGCCUUGAGAGUUCGCCAAAGGUGGCAUACAGGUGUUGGCCCAGAAGUGCCUCCUGGAUCAUCCCGCAGAGCCUCUCUCUGUAGUACAUAUACAAGAAUAACAAUAAUAAUAAUGAUUAGCAAGUAUUUGCAGAGUUAGGACAUUUGUAAUCCUAAUAUUUAGAAUUUAGAAAAUAGGAAGAUCGGGCUGGAGAGAUGGCUAAGCAGUUAAGAGCACUGACUGCUCUUCCAGAGGUCCCUGAGUUCAAUUCCCAGCACCCACAUGGUGGCUCACAGCCAUCUGUAAUGAGAUCCAAUGCUCUCCUCUGGUGUGUCUGACAGCUAAACUGUACUCAUACAAAUUUAAAAAAGAAAGAAAAUAGGGCAAUCAGGAGUUUAUCUGUCUGACUAAGGGGGAACUUGUACACAAGGUUGGACUGUGUGCUGUAGAGGCAAGCCCUGCUUGCUGACUGAGGCAGGGAGGAUGGGUUAUAGGCACCCAGGCAAAGGAGGUCUGUCAGCAGCAAGGAUCAGAAAUGUUCACAAAAUGGUCAUAAGGAAUAGAUUGGUUUUGGUGAGAACAUUCUUGAGGAGAAAGAAGUCAAAGCUUGCAUUCUAAAUCCUUCUGUUCUGUGUACAUUGGUCUUUUGCCUGCACAUAUGUCUGGGUGAAGGUGUCAGAUCUUGGAGUUACAAACAGUUGUGAGCUGCCAGGUGGGUGCUAGAAGAGUAGUCGGUGUUCCUAACCAUUGAGCCAUCUCUCCAGCCCCCUAAACUCUUUUUUUAUUUGUUUGAGACACGGAGGGUCUUUUGCAGGGCAGGCUGUCCUUGAGCUCAGUCGGAAGCAGAGGAUGGCUUUGAACUCCUGAUCUUCCUGCUUUCCAUACUCUAAAUACUGGGAUUACAAAUUCCCUUGCUCUGUAAACACUUGUAAUGAUUGUUGUUGGUAUUCUUGUGUGUGUAUUUGUUGUAUGUUGAUGUGUAUGCAUUUGCAUGCAGGUGGCAGACAGAGAACAGUUUGUGAAGUCUGUUUCUCUCUCUCUACCUCUACAUGGGCUGGAGGAUCAAGCUCAGGUCCUCAGGCUUGCACAGCCAAGACUUUGCCCAUUGAAUCAUUUCAGCUGCCCCAUCUUUAAAUGACUCGGUUUCAAUGAUAGCCAAGGCAGCCUCUCUCCCCUCCCUGGACCCCUUCUAUAUUUGCAAACCUCAGUAACUUGUCCAAGUUCUGGUUUCCUCCUUCCUCCCUCCCCCUCUAGUGUUCUUUCCCCAUUCCAGGCUAUCAGAAGAGAGGGAUGGUAGAUGUGUCUCGGGCUUCCCAGCAGGAAGGACUAGGUCAGAGGCUCCUGCUGAACAGAACACACAGAACUGGCCCUUCAGGUAAGGAUCCUGGCUGGUAUGUGGAGCCGAGGGACUGGAGUGGAGGGAGAGAACCUGUUUCUGACCUUUGAAGAGAGAUGUCAUUCAGGGAAUCGAGGGAAGGUCAGGAAGCAGGCUACCUGUCCCAUCCUUUGCACAGGCUAGAGACUCCACAGACUGCUAAAACCCUGGGGAGGAUCUGGCUUGACAGAUACUGCCUGGCUUUUGAACCUUGGGACUGUUAACUCUUGUUACCUUGAUGGCAAGGCAAAUGGGACCAGGCGACUCUGUAGAGAAGUAGGGUGAGACAUAGUCCCCUACCCCUAGCCUCCUUAUGCCUUCCUCUGCGUUUUCAAGGCAUGAGACUCUUGGGUGUCCUGGGCUCAGCUUUCUCUGACGAAAAAGGCUGGAAUAUCCAGAGGGGGCACAUGAUCAUCCCUAAGUACACCUCAGAGCUAGAGGGCCUGAAAGGAUCUGCCUUUCUGAGGUAGAGAGAAGGUGGGCUGGACGGGGUAGGGGAUCAGAGGCCAUCAGGAGGCCGCUUUCCUCCCACCGCAGGCUUGUCUCACAGCAUGAAAGAGACUAGAUGCAUGUGGACAGGGAGGGGAUGUACCCAUGAACUGUCCAUGUAUUGAGUUCAUCAUGCAUGCGCUUACACAUAUGUGAGUAUCUUGUCCCCACAUCUGACAAACCUAUGGAUCUGGCAUGCCGGCCAUGUUGUUCAGAUGCCAAGGAGUGAGGCACUUGGGGCACCAGGCCAGGGCUGAAGUAAAACCAGAUUCCCUGGGUGUACCUAUUUCCCGAAUCGGCUAGCCUGGGACAAUUUAACUUCCUUCAGUUAUCUGCUGCCUGCAAGUGCCCAAGACAGUAAGGGUCCUAGGGCUACCCAUGCUGAGUAGGAACUCAUCCCAUCUAUGGCUGCCACCCCUGCUCUCGUCUCCUCUCUUCUUGACAGUUGCAACAGCCUUCCUAGGCUCCUCUCCAAUCUGCCCGAGAGGAGCCUUCUAGCCCACACAUUUUGUCUCCAGCUCUCCGAAGCCUGUGUCGCAGUCUCAGCCCAAGACUGGCCCUGCCACCAGGCUUAGGCACAGCUGCUGCCCGCAUCCUAGGGGCUGUUUCAGUCUCUUCCUCGUAACUGGCUGGUUUUGGGGGUGACCCACCAUCUUCAAAGUCCAUCUUCCCACCCUCAACAUAAAAAUGAUCACAACGUCGCCACUCUUGGCCUCUUCCUUGGCUCUUUCACCACACACACCCUCAUCACUGGGUCACUUGUCCUGUCUUGUCACUUCCAGAAAAUAACCUGCCCUGAGCACAUAGGUGCCCAGUACAGAAUCUUCCGAGGUCUUGAAGGAGUUUGGGAAAUGCCAUCCCGACAUAUUACAGCUGACUGUGCUGGCUCCUUUGAACAGAGGCCUGGGGAACAGCAAGCAGGAGAGCCUUUAUCCAGUGAACCAUCUGGACAGCCCUAUUUUUAGUUUUUGACACAGGGUCUUUCUAUCUAGCCCAGAUUGACCUGGAAGUCAUAAUCCUGCCUCUGUUCCUGUAGUGCUGAGAUUACCGAUCCGGUGUGCACCACCACGUCUAGCUUCUGUAUAACCAAGACAACAUUUUUUUUUAAAUUUAUUUUAUGUAUGUGAGAGUACACUGUCACUCUCUUCAGACACACCAGGGCAUCAGAUCUCAUUACAGAUGGUUGUGAGCCACCAUGUGGUUGCUGGGAAUUGAACUCAGGACCUCUGGAAGAACAAGCACUGAGCCAUUUCUCCAGCACCCCCAAGACAACAUUUAAUCACUAUAGAGCUCCUCCAUUCACCGUCCCAAAAUGUGUGGCCUGUCCAUCCUUCCAUCCCGGGAGCCCAGAGCCCAUAUUCUGUUCUAGAGCACCAAUUGUUUUGUAAUGAAACACAGGUUUUCCCGUUUGUGCAUUUGUUUGUUUUGAGGUAGAGUGCCUCCACAUAGCCCUGGCUGUCCUGGACAUCACUAUGUAGACAAGGUUGGCCUCGAACUCAUAGAGAUUCAUCUACCUCUGCCUCCCUAGUGUCGAGACUAAAGGUUUGCACAACCACACCUGGCAGUGUUUCUUCUUUUUUGAGCUGGAGGUCUUGUGCAUCAGAGAAUGCAUGUAAACAUCCUUUGUGGCUAACAGAAGACCUUGAACUUCUGAUCCUUCCGCCACUACCUCUUGAGUGCAGGGACUAAAGAGCUUUGCCACCAUGCCCAGCCUUGGUACUAGAGAUUGAAUCCAGAGCCUUGGCAAGCACUCUACUAAGCUACACCUCCAGUUUCCUCCUGUGGAAAAGAAACGCUGUGGGGGAGGGAAUAGGGAGUUUGUGGAGGGGAAAAUAGGAAAGGGGAUAACAUUUGAAAUGUAAAUAAAUAAAAUCACCAAUAAAAAAAAAGACAGAAAAUUUAAAAAAGAAAUGUGGUGUCUGUAUGUGUGCCUGGUUGUGUGUAUGUCCUCAUGUCUGUGCAGUACCCAAGUAAGCCAAAAUGUCCUCUGGAGCUGGAGUUACUGGCAGCUCUGGGCUGCCCAAUGCGGGUGCUGGGAACCAAACUCAGAUUCUCUGUAUGAGGAGCCGCAGGUGCUUAAUCGCCGAGCGCCUCUCCAGCCCCUCUUCUCCCCAUUUUAAUCUAACGGUAUCUUUUUUUUUUGGGUUCUUUUUUUCGGAGCUGGGGACCGAACCCAGGGCCUUGCGCUUCCUAGGUAAGCGCUCUACCACUGAGCUAAAUCCCCAGCCCCCAAUCUAACGGUAUCUUAAUUAGUUGACCAACCAAGAACUUUUAGAAGGGCAGAGAGAUCGUUUGUCCUCACUGCAGACUCCUCUGUGACUUGAAAGUUGGCCAUGCUCCUCUCUAACGCACUAUCUGCCCCAAAAGGAACUUCUGGAUGUUUUUUAACCAGGAAGAGGAGAAGGAAGAGAGGUGGUUCUGGCUGUGGACCCUGGUUUUGUAACUGCCUGGUGACCUUUCUGAGCCCCAGACUCUUGGCUUUGUAGAACAGGAUAAUCACUGGCUUAAGUUUGCUCAGGUGCAGGAACCGGUGUGAUGUCCAGGGACUUGACAGCCCUGCAGCCCCCACCCUUCACUCCUCACCCUCCUUCCUCCUCUCUCUUGUCCCUUUGGAGCUGAGUCAACCUUGAGCCUGAUAGAGAAGAUCUGGGCUGUGUUGGAGGCCACUAAGGACCUCAAUCUUUGGGAAGAGCAGGCUGACGGAUAGUGCUUGAUUCUCCAUCUUGCCCAUGGCUGCCCUUUCCCUGGGUCCAGUCCUCUCAUCUUGGCCUGAAAGUAAUCUUGGAUUGUCCUCCCAGUCCACAGAGCUGGAGGAGCGUUCACUUGGCUCCUCCCCUGCAGUCCUUCCUCCCUUGGUGACCUGGUGACCUGGGCAGCCCCAGGCAGCUGUGGGUGGAAGCUGAGACCUGCCCGGACAUGCUCAGGUGCCUGCUAUAGGGCAGGCAGCUCAGACCUGCAGGAGCCAUGCAGGACUCGGUGAGACCCGCCCCUGGAAGUCCAGGCUGCCCAGCUAGGCCACAGGAGAACUGGACCAGCCAGUUCAGGAGGAGUCGCCGGGCUAAAUGGCCACAGAGCUUGGCUCCAGUGCUGCGGAAGCCUGGUCUCCAGGCUCUCAAGGUUUUAAUACCCGGGGUGGGGGUCUGACCUAUAAGGCAGUGUUGGCGCACUCAAUCCUACUGAGCACACUUAAGGUGGCACUUGGUAUUUGAGGUGUGUUUACCUCAGUGUUUUUAAAAGGAAGGGGAAAAUAUCACCUCAAUAAAGUGACCUUGGAUUCUUUCUUUUCCUUCUUUUUUUUUUUUAAAGAUUUAUUUAUUUAUUUCAUGUAUGUGGGUACACUGUCGAUAACUUCACACACACCAGAAGAGGGCAUCGGAUCCCAUUACAGAUGGUUGUGAGCCACCAUGUGGUUGCUGGGAAUUGAACUCAGGACCUCUGGAAGAGCAGUCAGUGCUCUUGACCGCUGAACCAUCUCUCCAGCCCGAACUUGGGUUCUUUUUUUUUUUUUUUUCCUUUUUCUUUUUUUUCAGAGCUGGGGACCGAACCCAGGGCCUUGCGUUUGCUAGGCAAGUGCUCUACCACUGAGCUAAAUCCCCAACCCCACGACGUUGGGUUCUUAUGUGUCAUUCCUGACUACAAGUGAAUUUAGGCCAGCCCGGGCUACGCGAGACCCUACCUUAAAAAACAUAAAACACGUUUUUUUUCUUUGUCGGUGAUGACCUUCAACUAGCAAUCCUAGGCCCAAGCCAUCCUACCUCAGCACCCCAAGUAGCUGUGGGUACAGGUGGGUACUUGUGGUUAUUUAGCCCCCUUUCCUAAGAAUUCAAGCCAGAGCCUCAUAUCUGUUAGACCCCAUACCAAAGUGUACUCCCAGCUUCACCCUCAGCCUUCCUGGGUUGUUUCCGAACAGAUGAUAGUGUUUCACCUAUAAACAUCGUAGGGAAGACAUUUUAAGUUGUACUAAUCGUGCUUUUAUUUGGGGCUUACGGGAAAGUGAGGCCAGGGCUUUACGUAUACUAAGUAUAUUUGCUUGCUCUUAAUUUUUUCUUCUUUUAUUUUCUUGAAGCAGGGUCUCGCCAUAGCCCUGGCUGGUCUGGAACUUGUUAUGUAGCCCCAGCAGGCCUUUAAUUCGCAGAUAUCCGCCCGCCUCUGUCUCCUGAGCAAGGGGAUUGAAUCUGACAUGAAAGCUUUCUGCUGCUGCGCCACACUGACGCGCUACACUGGCGCCCUGCGUUUGUUUUCCUGUGUGACUUUCCACAGGCAUGAGAAAGCAAAGCUGAGGGCUGCCGAUGGGCAGGCGUUCUCUCUGCUUUGCUGUGACACCCUUGGCCAUGGGUGACGGAAGCAGGAAGAACACCUGUUUCUCCCCUCAAAUGAAAUCCAGGGCAAAAAAAAAAAAAAUGUGGAACCCUCCGUCAGCUCCCGCAGGAGAGGGGAACACCAGGCUUGACUGCUGGGUUGCAGUGUCUGAGGUCUCCGCCAUACACUUCUUGCUCCCUUUGCCUCUCUGUGCUCAGGCUGAUGGCCCAGCCCUGAGCACUGCCCUCCAUGGUCUUGGGCUCCACUCUCCACCAAGUACCACAGCCUUUGAAAGUCUUCCAGGCAUCACCUUCUCUCUCUCUCCUGUACAUCUGGUAGGAAGGCAGAAGUUUCUCUGGAGCCCGAUUCUGUUCUGCUUCCCUAACCCAGUAAAUGAUCAGAUGUGUCUGGCACACCGCCCAGUCCCC